This 1792-nucleotide long non-coding RNA is filed under the name Salmo salar (Atlantic salmon). RNAcentral's name for it is "lncRNA (ENSSSAG00000070328.2, ENSSSAG00020074923.1)". The record is from RNAcentral. Lineage: Eukaryota; Metazoa; Chordata; Actinopteri; Salmoniformes; Salmonidae.
GGAAAGCUGAAACGGAGGAUGGUUUGAGGUGAUUGUUCUGAGAACAGCAGCUACAGCGGUUAUCACAGGAGCAGCAGCAGGAAAGCCCAGAGAACAGGGCUCGUUCCCACCGUCUAUCCUCAUCCCCCACUUCAUCCCCCUCUUCCUCCUGCCACAGCCCCGUGUCCAAGGAGGUGGACUUCAUCUGGAAACUUCCGGAUCUUCGUGAACCGUCGCGAGACAGCCACCGAUUGGACGAUGACAGGGAGGGGACGGGGGACAGGAGGGAUAUCAUCUCAGGUGUCAUGACUGCCUUUCCCAUGGCAACCGCAGUGUUUCUGUGUUCUGCAAAGUGGGAGACAUCAGCAUCUGACCACGCCUUCCUGGAGAAGGAGUUCCGCCUCUGCCGGAGCGUCAGGUCAGUCAGGGGGCGGGGCUCGAAGGAAGGGCCGAGCGGGGAGGGGGUGUGGGGGACGCCACCUCUCCGGAGGGCAGAGUGGGAGACAGAGGGCAGGGAGGAGGGCAUCUGGACAGACACAGACCGGCCUGACCUGAAAGCACCACUGUGGGGGACGAGUGGAGUUGGGGCUUGAGAUGGAGCUACGGUUAAGGAAUGGGCUGAUGGCGAGUUUGGAAUUGAGGAUGGGGUUGGUGUUGUGGUUAGGGCUGAUAGAGAAUGGUUUGGGAUUGGGGAAUGGGCUUGGGUUGGAGAUGAGCUGGAUGCUGCCGGAAAAGCUGAGGCUGGAGGUUGGUGUGGCCACGAGGCUGGGGAUGGAGAUGGUGGUGGGGAUGGAGGUGACACUUGCUCUGAAGGUGAGGUUAAAGCUGGGCCUGGAGGUGGGUCUGUCGAUGGGUCUGCUGGUUGAUAUAGUGGUGGGACAGGCUCUUGGACAACCAAGCUUGAGGAUCCCUCUGAAAUCUUUGAGCCACCUGUUUCCCAGUGCACUGGGGGGAGGGAGGCAGAGAGAGGCUCUGCUGGGGGGAGAGAGGAGGCAGGGAGAGGCUCUGCUGAGAAGUUAGGGUCAGAUCCUAAUAGAGGAUCUUCAGAGUACCGGUCCUGACAAACAGAUCCAGUCUCAGAGCCUUGAUUCACCACCUCAGGAACAGCAACAGGACCCAACACUGGACCUUCCAAACCAGAACUAAUCUGUACUUUCGUCUUCAUCUCUGUCUCUUUCUUCAUCUGCACCAGAGCUACCGAGUUCAUCCGAGAGCCUUCAUGUGACCCAUAACAAUCGGUGUCCUGAUCACCAACAGCCUCUGUUCCUGUCUGAACAUUGCCACUUUGUUCCGCUAUGUCCUUUUCCUCUCCUCCUAUUGGAACAGCUUCCUCUGAUUCCACAGUAAAGUGUUCUGUUUCUCUAUCUGUUUUCAUGAUAAUAAUAACGUGCCGUAACGGAGAGUCUGGCUUAUGACAAGGUGAACCGCAGGCCGAAGAGAAUCCAUCUUCCUCAGUGACAGUGUUUUCCAUUAGGCUUGGCCUGGCUCCAAAAGCAGAGUUAGUCAUCUCCAAGGCAUCAGAGAGGGAGUGGGGUGUGGGGGAAUCCUGGUGUCUGGGUGUCUCCUCUGUAGGGCUUGUUGUCUCUGGUCUGUAUAGAGGAGACUCGGGUCUUGGGUGGCACAUGGAGAGGGAAGGAGGGGAAGGGUCCAGGGAAGUGGAUGGGGGGGACGAGGGGGGUGAAGCUCCUUUUACAGUGAUCUGGCUGUCAGUGCUGCCUCCAAAUAUUCCCGACAAAGCCUUUAAACAACAACCAAACACUGUCAGUUUAAAUUAAUGAAUGACCUCUUAAAUUGUGCACCAUGAAAUAGACAG